GGGGAAUUUUCCGCAAUGGGCGAAAGCCUGACGGAGCAAUACUGCGUGAGGGAUGACGGCCUAUGGGUUGUAAACCUCUUUUAUCAGGGAGGAAUCAAUGACGUGUACCUGAUGAAUAAGCAUCGGCUAACUCCGUGCCAGCAGCCGCGGUAAGANCGGGGGAUGCAAGUGUUAUCCGGAAUCACUGGGCGUAAAGCGUCUGUAGGUGGUCCAAUAAGUCAACUGUUAAAUCUUGAGGCUCAACCUCAAAAUCGCAGUCGAAACUAUUAGANCUAGAGUAUAGUAGGGGUAAAGGGAAUUUCCAGUGGAGCGGUGAAAUGCGUAGAGAUUGGAAAGGACACCGAUGGCGAAGGCACUUUACUGGGCUAUUACUAACACUCAGAGACGAAAGCUAGGGUAGCAAAUGGGAUUAGAUACCCCAGUAGUC
RNAcentral lists this ribosomal RNA (427 nucleotides) under uncultured cyanobacterium. Its description in RNAcentral is "bacterial SSU rRNA". It matches the Rfam family "Bacterial small subunit ribosomal RNA", at positions 356 to 795 of the family's 1533-position model. The record is from RNAcentral. Lineage: Bacteria; Bacillati; Cyanobacteriota.